GUAGGUGAACCUGCGGAAGGAUCAUUAUCGAGUUAGGGUCUCUUGAGGCCUGAUCUCCAACCCUUUGUCUAUUUCACCACCUGUUGCUUCGGCGAGCCCGUCCUUUGGAAAAUAAGGACCGCCGGAGGGGUUCGCCCUUCUAGCCUGCGUUCGCCGUUGGCCACCGUUAAAUUCUUCUGUAAUUGUGUCAUCUAAGUAAAAUAGUAAUUAAAGUAAAACUUUCAACAACGGAUCUCUUGGUUCUGGCAUC
RNAcentral lists this unclassified non-coding RNA (250 nucleotides) under plant metagenome. RNAcentral's name for it is "partial contains small subunit ribosomal RNA, internal transcribed spacer 1, and 5.8S ribosomal RNA". The record is from RNAcentral.